GCACCCGUAGCUCAGUAGGAUAGAGCGACUCCCUCCUAAGGAGUAGGUCACAGGUUCGAUUCCUGUCGGGUGCGCCA
Molecule: transfer RNA, 77 nt
Filed under: Clostridiaceae bacterium
Lineage: Bacteria; Bacillati; Bacillota; Clostridia; Eubacteriales; Clostridiaceae
Description: tRNA-Arg
Rfam family: tRNA
About the family: Transfer RNA (tRNA) molecules are approximately 80 nucleotides in length. Their secondary structure includes four short double-helical elements and three loops (D, anti-codon, and T loops). Further hydrogen bonds mediate the characteristic L-shaped molecular structure. tRNAs have two regions of fundamental functional importance: the anti-codon, which is responsible for specific mRNA codon recognition, and the 3' end, to which the tRNAs corresponding amino acid is attached (by aminoacyl-tRNA synthetases). tRNAs cope with the degeneracy of the genetic code in two manners: having more than one tRNA (with a specific anti-codon) for a particular amino acid; and 'wobble' base-pairing, i.e. permitting non-standard base-pairing at the 3rd anti-codon position.
Source: RNAcentral